Molecule: ribosomal RNA, 663 nt
Filed under: Triticum aestivum (bread wheat)
Lineage: Eukaryota; Viridiplantae; Streptophyta; Magnoliopsida; Poales; Poaceae
Description: partial small subunit ribosomal RNA
Source: RNAcentral
AUGGCUUCCGCGCCGACGCAGCCGCCCCUCCUCCCGGUCACCAACCCCACGGCCGCGGGCUCGGCGCCCGCCUCCGGCGGCGGUGGCGGCCUGGACGCGCCGAUCGCCACGCCGGCGUUCCGGCUCUUCAUGAGCCGGAUCUCCGAGUCGGCGCGGCGCUCGCUGUCCGACCGGCGCCCGUGGGCCGAGAUGGUCGACCGCUCGGCCUUCUCGCGGCCGGACUCCCUCUCCGACGCCACCUCGCGCCUGCGCCGCAACCUCACCUACUUCCGCGUCAACUACACCGCCGUCGUCGCCUUCGCGCUGGCCGCCUCGCUCCUGGCCCACCCCUUCUCGCUCCUCAUCCUCCUGGGGGUCCUCGCCGCCUGGUGCUUCCUCUACAUCUUCCGCGCCUCCGACCAGCCCGUCGCGCUCUUCGGCCGCACCUUCUCCGACCGCGAGACGCUGCUGGGGCUCGUCGUCGCCUCCAUCGUGGCCUUCUUCUUCACCCCCGUCGCGUCGCUCAUCAUCUCCGGGAUGCUCGUCGGCGGCGCCAUCGUCGCCGCCCACGGCGCCUUCCGCAUGCCAGAGGACCUCUUCCUGGACGACGCCGACGCGGCCAGCGGCAACAGCGCGGCCCAGGGGCUGCUGUCCUUCCUCGGGGCACCCGGAUCUAGGGUUUGA